Molecule: long non-coding RNA, 656 nt
Organism: Cydia pomonella (codling moth)
Lineage: Eukaryota; Metazoa; Arthropoda; Insecta; Lepidoptera; Tortricidae
Exons: 2
Source: RefSeq, a predicted model, not a curated record
AGAGGUCAGAGGCACAUAUACCCUCCAUAAAGCCUUGCACUUGGGUCUGGCCGGUUAGAACAUAGACAAAAGUCUGCAAUGUCAAUGCUGUCAAAGUCAUUGACGCAAAACUAUUUUCAUUUUCAAAACUAUCAGUUUUCAUAUUUUCAUAUAAAAUGAUUAAAUAACGAUUUAUGUUGUUGAAAUAGAUUUAUUGAUUAAUUUUUAAAAUUAAAAAUCCACCGCACAGUAUCUCCGCUCAGACUCGGUUAAAGUUUAAUCCAUUGUACUAAACUAAGAAACAACAAUUAUUUCAAGAGGGUGAACGUGAGCAAAAAAUCCUUGGGCGUCAUAUCAUUUCCUUGGAAAGGCUCAAAAUCAAAAGGCACGGAUCCGCCACAUAAUUGUGACUAGUUGUAGUUUCCCGGUGACCAUCAACAAGACCGCUGCACUGAGCUGUGGAGCAGAAAGUGUCCGACAAUCGGAUAGAUGUAAUAACAACUUUGUCUGUCAUAUAUUCAUGUAAUUUUUAGUUUUUUGGGCUGAUAUAUGUGAUAUGAUUACAAGUUACACUAAUUGCAAUUGUGGAGUAAAAUCAGAUGUGCCAAAGAUCAUGUUUUAGAUAUAUAAAAAUCUAUAUUAAAUGCAAUAAAUAGUAUAUGUAUAUAUAUAUAAAA